UACAGAGGGGGCAAGCGUUGUUCGGAAUUACUGGGCGUAAAGGGCGCGUAGGCGGCCUUCUAAGUCGAACGUGAAAUCCCCGGGCUCAACCCGGGAACUGCGUCCGAUACUGGGAGGCUUGAAUCCGGGAGAGGGAUGUGGAAUUCCAGGUGUAGCGGUGAAAUGCGUAGAUAUCUGGAGGAACACCGGUGGCGAAGGCGGCAUCCUGGACCGGUAUUGACGCUGAGGCGCGAAAGCUAGGGGAGCAAACGGGG
RNAcentral lists this ribosomal RNA (254 nucleotides) under uncultured bacterium. RNAcentral describes it as "partial 16S ribosomal RNA". It matches the Rfam family "Bacterial small subunit ribosomal RNA", at positions 524 to 777 of the family's 1533-position model. The record is from RNAcentral.